GAGCUGAGCUCUUGGGGUCCUCUCACCAUGGCUUGGCCUCUUGUUUGCCUCCUGCUGCUCACCUUCUGCUCAGGCUCCCUCUCCCAGCGUGUGGUAACUCAGCCUUCCUCUGUCUCUGCAUCCCCGGGGAGCACAGCCAGACUCUCCUGCACCUUGAGUGGUAGCUACAGUGCUAAUGAUGUUUAUUGGCACCAGCAGAGCCCAGGGAAGGCCCCUCGGUAUCUCCUGUAUGUCACCAGCAGUGGAAGUAUAGGAAAGGCUGAUGGGCUCCCUGAGCGCUUCUCAGGCUCUGGCUCUGGGGUCAAUAGAGUCCUGUCCAUCAGCAACGUCCAGCCUGAGGAUGAAGCCGAUUAUUACUGUCAGUCAUAUUACUACCCUAGUGGUGGUUUUGCUAAUACACAGUGA
This is a non-coding RNA of Gracilinanus agilis (Agile Gracile Mouse Opossum), 405 nucleotides long. The record is from the annotation of a RefSeq genome assembly. Lineage: Eukaryota; Metazoa; Chordata; Mammalia; Didelphimorphia; Didelphidae.